Molecule: unclassified non-coding RNA, 332 nt
Filed under: soil metagenome
Description: partial contains 5.8S ribosomal RNA, internal transcribed spacer 2, and large subunit ribosomal RNA
Rfam family: 5.8S ribosomal RNA (bases 1-120)
Source: RNAcentral
GAUGAAGAACGUAGCGAAAUGCGAUAAGUAAUGUGAAUUGCAGAAUUCAGUGAAUCAUCGAAUCUUUGAACGCACAUUGCGCCCGCUGGUAUUCCGGCGGGCAUGCCUGUUCGAGCGUCAUUUCAACCCUCAAGCACAGCUUGGUGUUGGGACUCGCGUUAAUUCGCGUUCCUCAAAUUGAUUGGCGGUCACGUCGAGCUUCCAUAGCGUAGUAGUAAAACCCUCGUUACUGGUAAUCGUCGCGGCCACGCCGUUAAACCCCAACUUCUGAAUGUUGACCUCGGAUCAGGUAGGAAUACCCGCUGAACUUAAGCAUAUCAAUAAGCGGAGGA